RNAcentral lists this ribosomal RNA (460 nucleotides) under uncultured bacterium. RNAcentral describes it as "partial 16S ribosomal RNA". It matches the Rfam family "Bacterial small subunit ribosomal RNA", at positions 338 to 795 of the family's 1533-position model. The record is from RNAcentral.
CCUACGGGAGGCAGCAGUGAGGAAUAUUGGUCAAUGGACGCAAGUCUGAACCAGCCAUGCCGCGUGCAGGAAGACGGCUCUAUGAGUUGUAAACUGCUUUUGUACGAGGGUAAACGCAGAUACGCGUAUCUGUCUGAAAGUAUCGUACGAAUAAGGAUCGGCUAACUCCAUGCAAGCCGCCGCGGUAAUACGGAGGAUUACAGCGUUAUCCGGCUUUAUUGGGUUUAAAGGGUGCGUAGGCGGUCGGUUAAGUUAGAGGUGAAAUCCCGAGUAUCAACUUCGGAAUUGCCUCUGAUACUGUUCGGCUAGAGAGUAGUUGCGGUAGGCGGAAUGUAUGGUGUAGCGGUGAAAUGCUUAGAGAUCAUACAGAACACCGAGUGCGAAGGCAGCUUACCAAGCUACUUCUGACGUUGAGGCACGAAAGCGUGGGGAGCAAACAGGAUUAGAUACCCGAGUAGUC